This 438-nucleotide ribosomal RNA is filed under the name uncultured bacterium. RNAcentral's name for it is "partial 16S ribosomal RNA". It matches the Rfam family "Bacterial small subunit ribosomal RNA", at positions 339 to 795 of the family's 1533-position model. The record is from RNAcentral.
CUACGGGGGGCACCAGUGGGGGAUAUUGCGCAAUGGGCGAAAGCCUGAUGCAGCAACGCCGCGUGAAGGAAGACGGAUUUCGGUCUGUAAACUUCUAUCAGCUGGGAAGAAAAUGACGGUACCAGACUAAGAAGCCCCGGCUAACUACGUGCCAGCAGCCGCGGUAAUACGUAGGGGGCAAGCGUUAUCCGGAUUUACUGGGUGUAAAGGGUACGUAGGCGGUCGCUUAAGUCAGAUGUGAAAGCCCGAAGCUCAACUUCGGGAUGCAUUUGACACUGGGUGACUAGAGUACAGGAGAGGAAAGCGGAAUUCCUAGUGUAGCGGUGAAAUGCGUAGAUAUUAGGAAGAACACCAGUGGCGAAGGCGGCUUUCUGGACUGUAACUGACGCUGAGGUACGAAAGCGUGGGGAGCGAACAGGAUUAGAUACCCGCGUAGUC